UGUAGGUAGUCUGAAACAAUCAACUGUUUGGAACACAGACUGUUUUAUGUCAUUUGCAUUAUCAUGUUUCUCCUCAAGCCGUUCUGGCAGGGUAAAGCCAGCAUGUUUACAUUACCUUGCCUGCCAAGUACUUUGCUAGAGACUUCCACAAACUCCAUCUCUAUGGAAGAGCAAUGAGCUGGUGUCUUAAGGAGUUUGUGGAUAUAGCUCUUUAACUGGAAGGGAAUCCUCACAAAAGGGGAUCCAAUUCAUUUACUCUGAAUAUUAAAGUGCAAUUUUCCUAGUUUAACAGCAUCCUAUUUUACUGCAGUAUUGCAUCUUGCCUCUGAAAUUAAUAGUUAACCAUGGAGAAAGACAGGUCUGGCAGAAUGGGAAUCAGGCAUUAUAUUAUCCCAUGAGUCACAUACAUGCAGAGAACCAAACAAGUGUCAGCCAAUGGCUUUGAGCCCAAAAUAUGUCAAAGAGGAGAUGCGUAUCUUCAUUUAUAUUAGGUAGAUAGAAAGCUUGCUGCAGUUCCCAUUAAACAGCUUGGAGUUCUGCCACUGACUUUAGUGGGAACAGGAUUGGGCCCAUGCAGAGGAAGCUGGCUCUGGCCUGCACUGGCUGUAUUUACUGUGCAGCUCAGGGCAGCUUGUAUUUCAGCAACAGUUCCUAGUUGACAGAAUCAAGACCUCCCCUAGUUUUAGGCAUUAGUCCUUCCUUUGUUAGAUUGAGAACUUUUCCUUUGAAAUGUGAGGAUGCUUGGUAGCAGGCAGCAAUGGGCGCUCUUCUGAGUGCAGCUUCACUGAGAGUCAGUAGCAUGUGACCGUAGAGAGGGAUUAGCACAGCACCUUUUCUGAGCAGGGUUUUAUGAUUUGUAAUUUUUUACAUUUAAAAUAAAGAGCUACAUUUAGGAAUUAACCCCACUGCAGGCAUUUGCACAACUUUGUAUGGCAAGAUCCCAUUGGAGUCAGCAAAGUCAUGGAUGAGUAACCUUCAAAAGGUUUCAGAACUUUCUUGAAUCCUAGGGAACUUUUGUACCUCAGUUUUCCCAUUCUGGGUAUUCUCCACAUCUUCCAAUGCAUCUGGCUGUAGACUUGUCUCAAGAACCAAAUAAAUCUGAGGCUGCUGAUAUGUAUUGGAUCCACCAUGUGAUUUAAAUUGAAGUCCCUCUGGGAGAGGAGGUGCUGUGAACAAAUACCAUUAAGUACACCCAAACCAGCAACUGUGAGAUCAGGGCUGAAUGCCAGAUCUGCUGUUGGUCAAUGGGGACAGACAGACAGGUUUCAUGACAUGCUCAAGAUCACAUGAGCUGCCUGUGUCAGAGUGAGAAACUGCACCUGGAUCUCUCAAUUGUGAGGCUGUUGCUUUUGGCACUGCAUCAUCUUGACUGCAAACCACACAUCCAGAUUGACUUUCUCUGCGUCCUUCCUGUGCCUACAAAUGUCAGUUUAAUACACCUUGAUCCCUACAUCCAAGAAGACAUCUGGUUGAAAGAAAAGGAGCCAAGAGACCAUAAAGGUGCAAAGCCAAGAGCAAGUGUUCCCUCUGAGCUGAGUGGGAUGAGGUGGAUGGGACACUCUGGACUUCUGGGUGGAGGGAUCAACUAGAGCAGGGCUACAUUGGGCAUGAAAGUGCUUGUGGUUCAAUGCCUUCUUGUCCCAGAUGGAAUAGGGGAGGUGACAAGUGCGUGAUGCCAGUACAAAACCUGAAUAGCAACUGAUGCCAUCCCUGCCUCUCCUUGCUCUCAGGCAGUGGGUGGCAGGAGUGGUGAUGCUCCUGCCCUCUGCCUCUUGAGGCAAAAGGUAAGAAAGAUUCAGUUCCCAUACAUCUGGGUAAGCAUCCUGUUUGGGCCCAUUUCCAUAUGUGCACACUGUCCAGUCUCAGUGCCAUCUGACUUACCAGCACUUCUUUGCAGCCAUCACUUUAUGUCUAAUUCUCAGCUCAUCUGGCGACACUACAGUGCUGGCAAAAUAUGCCUCACCAGUGCUUCACUGCACUGUAGGAUUAAAAUGUAGUAUUAAAUUUUAAUAGGGUUUAACACACUGCAGAACUGUAGAGUUCAAUUAAAUAAUUUUGUAUUUUUUUUCUAUCCACAUACAUCUAUAGCUGUGUGGCUUAAUGUAAUAUAUUUGUGGAUAUGGUCCAUUAAUCCCUUUGAUUUGAGAAUCUUAAAAUGUUUUACAAAUAAACUUUACCCAUGGAAUAGAAAAUCCUUGCUCUGAACCAUUCUUACCCCUCAGUAUAGCUGAGAUGCAGGGGAGACAUACCUUUUGCCCAGUGGUUAUGUUUUUCAGGACCCCAAAAACUCAGACACUGAACUGGCCAAGAGAUGAGUCUCUUGCUUUGGUAACGGGAUGUCAACUUCCUGCCUGUCAGACAACUUUAAUUAGCACUUGACAUUGUCUGGUUUGCAGGUUUAUUUGUCUUUUUGCUUUCUGAUCAACAAAGAGGUCUUUGAAAAAUAAUAACAGAAAAGUUAUCUGAAGAAUACCAAUCAUUGUACAAACAACAGUGGGUGAAAUAGUGAAAUAGAAUUUGCUUUGUUUGCAUAUGUGGGGAGUGGCAGAAGGAAGCGGAACCAGUGAAUGGCUGUGAUACCAUCUUUGAGUUGUAAGAUCCUUUUCUAAGCCAUUUCAACAAAUUUUAUACAUUGGGUUUGCCUCAUCUUUCUCUACCAUCUGCAAUCACGUGGCUACUCACUUGUGCAGCAAUAGUU
Neopsephotus bourkii (Bourke's parrot) is the source of this 2698-nucleotide long non-coding RNA. RefSeq lists it as uncharacterized. NCBI's taxonomy places the organism in Eukaryota, Metazoa, Chordata, Aves, Psittaciformes, Psittacidae. The transcript is spliced from 3 exons. The record is from RefSeq and is a predicted model, not a curated record.